RNAcentral lists this ribosomal RNA (465 nucleotides) under uncultured bacterium. RNAcentral's name for it is "partial 16S ribosomal RNA". It matches the Rfam family "Bacterial small subunit ribosomal RNA", at positions 338 to 795 of the family's 1533-position model. The record is from RNAcentral.
CCUACGGGGGGCAGCAGUAGGGAAUCUUCCACAAUGGACGAAAGUCUGAUGGAGCAACGCCGCGUGAGUGAAGAAGGGUUUCGGCUCGUAAAGCUCUGUUGGUAGUGAAGAAAGAUAGAGGUAGUAACUGGCCUUGAGUUGACGGUAAUGACGGAGAAAGGCACGGCUAACUACGUGCCAGCAGCCGCGGUAAUACGUAGGUGGCAAGCGUUGUCCGGAUUUAUUGGGCGGAAAGCGAGUGCAGGCGGUUCAAUAAGUCUGAUGUGAAAGCCUUCGGCUCAACCGGAGAAUUGCAUCAGAAACUUUUGAACUUGCGUGCAGAAGCGGCGAGUGGCACUCCAUGUGUAGCGGUGGAAUGCGUAGAUAUAUGGAAGAACACCAGUGGCGACGGCGGCUCUCUGGUCUGCACCUGACGCUGAGGCUCGAACGCCUGGGUAGCGAACAGGAUUAGAUACCCGGGUAGUC